AGCACCUUAACCACUGUGCCACCUGCCAACCCUGAAACCAAGGACUCUUAAUGCUGUGAUCAAAGAGAGAAGUUCUCCAUAGGAUGCCAUAGUCAUUCAGUAGUGCUAUGUAUUCCUUGAGGAGAUAUAAGG
This 132-nucleotide small nucleolar RNA is filed under the name Tupaia belangeri (northern tree shrew). RNAcentral's name for it is "Small nucleolar RNA SNORA25 (ENSTBEG00000020844.1)". Lineage: Eukaryota; Metazoa; Chordata; Mammalia; Scandentia; Tupaiidae. The record is from RNAcentral.